UGCCAGCAACAUUGGUCUCUUCCAGC
RNAcentral lists this non-coding RNA (26 nucleotides) under Mus musculus (house mouse). Lineage: Eukaryota; Metazoa; Chordata; Mammalia; Rodentia; Muridae. The record is from RNAcentral.